GAUGAACGCUGGCGGCGUGCCUAAUACAUGCAAGUCGAGCGAACAGAUGAGGAGCUUGCUCCUCUGACGUUAGCGGCGGACGGGUGAGUAACACGUGGAUAACCUACCUAUAAGACUGGGAUAACUUCGGGAAAACGGAGCUAAUACCGGCUCAUAUAUUGAACCGCAUGGUUCAAUAGUGAAACACGGUUUUGCUGUCACUUAUAGAUGGAUCCGCGCCGCAUUAGCUAGUUGGUAAGGCAACGGCUUACCAAGGCAACGAUGCGUAGCCGACCUGAGAGGAGGAUCGGCCACACGGGAACUGAGACACGGUCCAGACUCCUACGGGAGGCAGCAGUAGGGAAUCUUCCGCAAAGGGCGAAAGCCUGACGGAGCAACGCCGCGUGAGUGAUGAAGGUCUUCGGAUCGUAAAACUCUGUUAUUAGGGAAGAACAAAUGUGUAAGUAAAUAUGCACGUCUUGACGGUACCUAAUCAGAAAGCCACGGCUAACUACGUG
This 497-nucleotide ribosomal RNA is filed under the name uncultured bacterium. Its description in RNAcentral is "partial 16S ribosomal RNA". It matches the Rfam family "Bacterial small subunit ribosomal RNA", at positions 28 to 507 of the family's 1533-position model. The record is from RNAcentral.